UACAGAGGUCUCAAGCGUUGUCCGGAUUUACUGGGCGUAAAGAGCGCGCAGGCGGUCGUUCAAGUCGAGUGUGAAAGCCCCCGGCUCAACUGGGGAGGGUCACUUGAUACUGAUCGACUCGAAGGCAGGAGAGGGAAGCGGAAUUCCCGGUGUAGUGGUGAAAUGCGUAAAUAUCGGGAGGAACACCAGUGGCGAAGGCGGCUUCCUGGCCUGUUCUUGACGCUGAGGCGCGAAAGCUAGGGGAGCAAACGGG
Molecule: ribosomal RNA, 253 nt
Filed under: uncultured bacterium
Lineage: Bacteria
Description: partial 16S ribosomal RNA
Rfam family: Bacterial small subunit ribosomal RNA
Source: RNAcentral